Molecule: ribosomal RNA, 435 nt
Filed under: uncultured bacterium
Lineage: Bacteria
Description: bacterial SSU rRNA
Rfam family: Bacterial small subunit ribosomal RNA
Source: RNAcentral
UGAGGAAUAUUGGUCAAUGGGCGGGGAGCCUGAACCAGCCAAGCCGCGUGAGGGAGGAAGGCCCUAUGGGUCGUAAACCUCUUUUGUCAGGGAACAAAAGCGAGUAUGUAUACUAGUCUGAGUGUACCUGAAGAAAAAGCAUCGGCUAACUCCGUGCCAGCAGCCGCGGUAAUACGGAGGAUGCGAGCGUUAUCCGGAUUUAUUGGGUUUAAAGGGUGCGUAGGCGGCGGUGCAAGUCAGCGGUAAAAGCCCGGGGCUCAACCCCGGCGAGCCGUUGAAACUGCAGUGCUAGAGAAGGCGAGAGGUACGCGGAAUGCGCAGUGUAGCGGUGAAAUGCUUAGAUAUUGCGCAGAACUCCGAUUGCGAAGGCAGCGUACUGGCGCCUGACUGACGCUGAGGCACGAAAGCGUGGGGAUCGAACAGGAUUAGAUACCC